AUGCCGCCUCAGACUCCAUCUCCCAGAGGUCCCCGCGGGAGUCCGCCUCAGAGGACUACACCGCCCAGAAUGCCCUCAAACUCCAACUCCCAGAGAGCCCCGCGGACAUCCCGCCUCAGACUCCAUCUCCCAGAGGUCCCCGCGGGAGUCCGCCUCAGAGGACUGCACCUCCCAGGAUGCCCUCAAACUCCAUCUCCCAGAGAGCCCCACGGACAUCCCGCCUCAGACUCCAUCUCCCAGAGAGCCCCGCGGACAUCCCGCCUCAGACUCCAUCUCCCAGAGAGCCCCGCGGACAUCCCGCCUCAGACUCCAACUCCCAGAGAGCCCCGCGGGAGUCCGCCUCAGAGGACUGCACCGCCCAGAAUGCCCUCAAACUCCAACUCCCAGAGAGCCCCACGGACAUCCCGCCUCAGACUCCAUCUCCCAGAGAGCCCCGCGGACAUCCCGCUUCAGACUCCAUCUCCCAGAGAGCCCCGCGGACAUCCCGCCUCAGACUCCAACUCCCAGAGAUCCCCGCGGGAGUCCGCCUCAGAGGACUGCACCGCCCAGAAUGCCCUCAAACUCCAACUCCUAGAGAGCCCCGCGGACAUCCCGCCUCAGACUCCAUCUCCCAGAGAGCCCCGCGGACAUCCCGCCUCAGACUCCAUCUCCCAGAGAGCCCCGCGGGAGUCGCGCCUCAGACUCCAUCUCCCAGAGAGCCCCGCGGGAGUCGCGCCUCAGACUCCAUCUCCCAGAGAGCCCCGCGGGAGUCGCGCCUCAGAUGACCACAUCUCCGAGAAAGCCCCGGCGGUCGUCCGCUGCAAGCUCCAUUUCCCAGAGAACCCCGUGUCCAUCCUCCAAGGACUCCGCCUCUCCCCUCCCUCAGAGAACUCUGCCUCCCAGAGCUUCGUGGGCGUCCCCUCUCAGACUCCAUCUCCCAGAGUCCCGAGGGCGCCCCACCUCAGACUCCUUGCACCGAGCGACAGCCUCAAAGGACUCCAUCUCCCAGAGGUCCCUGCCGGCAUCGUGGGUCAGAGGAAAGCAUCUUCCAGAAUGCCCCAUGCGCAUUAA
Molecule: long non-coding RNA, 1050 nt
Filed under: Oryctolagus cuniculus (rabbit)
Lineage: Eukaryota; Metazoa; Chordata; Mammalia; Lagomorpha; Leporidae
Description: lncRNA (ENSOCUG00000032470.1)
Source: RNAcentral